This 3390-nucleotide long non-coding RNA is filed under the name Homo sapiens (human). Its description in RNAcentral is "PREDICTED lncRNA (TCONS_00027746)". The record is from RNAcentral. Lineage: Eukaryota; Metazoa; Chordata; Mammalia; Primates; Hominidae.
GUAAAAUGUAACAUGGACCUAAGAACUACUGUGAAUAAAUAGCUUGACUUUUAAUACAAGAGAGUAUAUUGAAUUUAAAGCUAAGAAUCUGGGAAUUCUAGAGUACUGUCUGCUAGAAACAUUAUUAUGUCAAAAAUAACAAAAAGGGUUAUUUGACAUGAUUUGCUGAUCACUAAGCCCACUGAGGGAAGCCCUCCAAGGUUUAUGUGAGAAGUAGUCAGUUUUUUACUGGUGCAGAAGAAAUGCUUUUUAUUGCUCCAAGGAUGGCACUGAGCCCCACAAAGCAACCACUGGGGAAUAUCAGGUUAAUAGCAUGAAUCUGUGGUUAUAAAACAAGCACACUGUUUUAAAAACAUAUUUAAAGUAAUUCAUGAGUUGGAUGUUUCCUGAUAGGUAUACUUUUCAGUUUAGGCAUUUAAAAAAAAGUCUGCAGUGUACCUUUAUUUUCACUUUUACUUUGGUGUUUUGAUGUCUAUAGAAAUGAGCAGUUUCUCUACUUCUUUCCCAGAAAUUAAUCUCCAAUGCUGACGUGAGCACAAAGACCUUAUGUACUGCGCUGGGAAAUAUGUUGUGUUUUAAGAAUAAAAAUUUUCAUUAGAGUUAGUUCAUGCAUCACAGAUAUUAUCCUUCCUGACAAGAGGAACACUGAAGCACAGACACUGUGUUGGGCUGUAGUUCUCAAUGGAAAAAUUAAGCUUUUCAAAAUGUUAGUCACUGCCAUGCUAGAUGUUUCUUUAAGUCAUUUUUACUACCUGUUUUGAUAGAUUCUAAGAAUCAGUCUUACAUUGUAUUUUUCUAUGGCUUACUGUUAAAAUCUUAUUCAUAAAAAUAACUAUCACGCAUGGAAAUAGUAUACACCAAAAUCAUAAACCAGAAAGUAAUUUAUAUUUAACCCUCAUAACAGUACUUCAAAGUAGAAAUUAUCUCAUAUUGUAGAGGAAACACAGGCUCAGAUAGGAUAUAAAUUGCCCAUAUCACAAAACUAGUAAGUGAUGGAGCUAGAAUACAAACAAGAUCUGCCUAUUUACACAAAUCAAUAAUUUUUCCUCUAUAACAUGUUGUCAUUACAUGCCUUUGGUUUUCAAGUGAAAUGCACUCAACUUCACAUUUUAAAAUAUGCCACAAAUGUACCCAUAAAGUAAGUGAACUUGACUAUUGAGUGGGACCACAAUUAUUAAAAAGUUUGCCUUGGGACCUUUGAAACAAAGACAGUAUAGUGACCCUCGGGGAACUGAGUUACAUGCCCAAGUCCAGCCAAGAGAUGGAACUUGUGGGACCUCAGGUCUCCUGCUCCAGUCUAAGUCCAGCUCUUUCCUUCCAUAGGAAAGGAAGAAGAAGGAAACCAUGGCUCCUUUGGCACUUUAGAAAGAAAUCCGAGCAAUCCAGGGGCCAAAGCUCACACAGGCAAUGAGUUCUCUUCACCUUUGUCUGGACCACUGUACCCAGGGCUCAUGGAUAAUCCUCAAGCCCUGUGGGCUGUCAAGUAGGACGUGCCUAACUGCUAAGACUUGUGCUAACAGGAGCUCUGGGACCUCAGGGAGAAUGGGCUCGCGUUCAUCUUGCACCUGCCUUUGUUUUAGCACUGAUCUAACUCUCACAUUUUUUACCCACCAGUCUCCCUAGUAGCCUGAAAGUCAUUCAGAGCCAGGGGUUGUGAUGGUCCCCUCUGUGUCCACUGUCCCCAGCACAGGGUCCAGCACACCACAGUGGGUAGCAAAUGCUAUUUAAAUGAGAUGGGAUGAAAUUCCCUUCCUUCACUUUCUUCACCUCAAGGUAAGGACCAUGUUCCUGUUUCCAUCAUUCCCUGUCCUUCUCCUGUCUGUGGUGACAGCUUCCUGCUCCAAAACAAAAGCCUGUGCAGAUACCCAGAAGACCUGCUCCAUGAUUACCUGUGGCAUCCCCGUCACCAAUGGCACCCCAGGCAGAGAUGGGCGAGAUAGACCCAAGGGGGAAAAGGGAGAGCCAGGUCUGGGACAGGUCAAGGGCUCAGAGGUUUGCAGGGCCCUCCUGGGAAGAUGGGGCCCCCAGGAAACACAGGGACUUCUGGAAUUCCAGGACCUAGGGGCCAAAAAGGAGAUCGUGGGGACAAUUCAGUUGCUGAGGCUAAGCUGGCCAACUUAGAGAGAAAGCUAUAGAGCCUGAGAUCAGAACUGGACCACACGAAGAAGCAGACAGGAUCUCCGUAUGUUGUCCAGGCUGGUCUUUAACUCCUGACCUCAAGUGAUCCUCCCCAAUCAGCCUCCCAAAGUGCUGGGAUAACAGGUUCAUCCCUCUCUGUGCCUUGGUUUUCAUAUUUGGAAAAUGACGAGGAGGAUUUAACUAGAUUAUCUCUAAGGUUGAAUGGGGAAAGAACAUUCCUGGAAUCACCAGGCAAGAAGAGGAUUGGAGAGAUGGGGUCUCACUCUGUUGCCCACGCUGGUCUCAAACUCCUGGUCUCAAGCAAUUCUCCUGCCUCAGCCUACCGAAGUUCUGAGAUUACAAGUGUAAGCCAUCAUACCCAGCACCAAUCUGUAUCUUUUAAGUGGAACAUUUACUCCAUUUAUUAUCAAGGUUAAUAUUGAUAUGUGAUGUUUUGUUCCUGUCAUGAUAAUUGUUACCCAGUUGCUUUUUAGUCUCAAUUAUGUAAUUGCUUUAUAUAAUCUGUGAGUUUUUCACUUUAAUGUGCUUUUAUGAUGAGGAGUAUUGUCCAUUCAUUUCCAUGUUUAGAACUUUAAGCAUUUCUUGUAGUGCUGGUCUUGUGGUGACAAAUUCCCUUUGCAUUUGUUGUAUGGGAAAAACUUUAUUUCUCCUUCAUUUAUGCAGCUUAGUUUAGCAGGAUACAAAAUUCUUGGCUGGCAGGAUUUUUGUUUAAGUAGAUUAAACAUAAGACCCCAAUCUCUUCUGGCUUGUAAGGUUUCUGCUAAGAAGUCCAUUGUUAGUCUGUUGGGUUUUCCUGUAUAGAUUAGACAUUUCUCUCUUGCUGCUUUUAGGAUGUUUUCCUUCACAUUGACUUUGGAUAGUCUGAUGACGAUAUGCCUUUAUGAGGUUUCUCUUGUAAAGCAUCUUCCAGGUGUUCUCUGAGCAUCUCCUAUCUGGAUGUCUAAUUCUCUAGCAAGACCAGGGAAGUUUUCCUGAAUUAUUCCCUCAAAUAGGUUUUCCAAGCUUUUAAUUUUUUUUCUUCUCCCUCAGGAAUGUCUAUAUAUUGUAUAUUUGGUAACUUUAUGUAAUUCUAUAUUUUUCAAAGUCUUUGUUCAUUUUUAAAAAUUUAUUUUUUCUGUAUUUCUGUCUGACUAGGUUAAUUCAAAUGACUGGCCUUCAGGCUCUGAAAUUAUUUCUUCUGCUUGGUCUAGUCUUUUGCUAAAAGUUUCAACUAUAUUUUAUAGUUCCUUCAAUAAAUUUUUAUUUCUAGAA